CUUGGUCAUUUAGAGGAASUAAAAGUCGUAACAAGGUUUCCGUAGUGAACCUGCGGAAGGAUCAUUAAUGAAAGCUCGAGCUGGGGUUGUCGCUGGCCCUCCGGGGCAAUCGUGCACGCCUUUGUCUCAACUCUCAACUCAACCCCCCCCUGUGUGCAUCCUCGCGUGGGUCCCGAGCGUCGGUUCGCUCGAGGCUCGCGUCCUUUUCUACAAAAACCUCCCGGGUACGUCGGAACGUGAGUCGCUGUAGAAGCGAAUCGUAGUACAACUUUCAACAACGGAUCUCUUGGCUCUCGCAUCGAUGAAGAACGCAGCGAAAUGCGAUAAGUAAUGUGAAUUGCAGAAUUCAGUGAAUCAUCGAAUCUUUGAACGCACCUUGCGCCCCUUGGUAUUCCGAGGGGCACGCCUGUUUGAGUAUCAUGAAAUUCUCAACCCGACCUCCUUUUGAAAGGGGGGGGGAGGGCUUGGAUUUUUGGAGGACUUUGCCCGUUUCCCUUUGUUGUGGGACCUGGCUCCUCUCGAAUGCAUAUGGGUGGGGCUUCGUCUGCCUCUCGGCGUGAUAGUUCGUCUGCGUCGAUCGGUGGAAGGAGAGAAAAGCCUCGCUAGAGAAACGACGCUUCAUCGGAAGCAUGACCCUUUUGAUCUCAAAUCAGGCGGGACUACCCGCUGAACUUAAGCAUAUCAAUAAGCGGAGGA
Molecule: unclassified non-coding RNA, 696 nt
Filed under: uncultured Agaricaceae
Lineage: Eukaryota; Fungi; Basidiomycota; Agaricomycetes; Agaricales; Agaricaceae
Description: partial miscellaneous RNA
Rfam family: 5.8S ribosomal RNA (bases 267-420)
Source: RNAcentral